GUGGGGAAUAUUGGACAAUGGGCGCAAGCCUGAUCCAGCAAUGCCGCGUGGGUGAAGAAGGUCUUCGGAUCGUAAAGCCCUUUCGACAGGGACGAUGAUGACGGUACCUGUAGAAGAAGCCCCGGCUAACUUCGUGCCAGCAGCCGCGGUAAUACGAAGGGGGCUAGCGUUACUCGGAAUUACUGGUCGUAAAGGGCGCGUAGGCGGCUCUGUUAGUCAGGCGUGAAAUUCCUGGGCUUAACCUGGGGACUGCGCUUGAUACUGCAGGGCUUGAGGCCGAGAGAGGGUGGUGGAAUUCCCAGUGUAGAGGUGAAAUUCGUAGAUAUUGGGAAGAACACCGGUGGCGAAGGCGACCACCUGGCUCGGUUCUGACGCUGAGGCGCGACAGCGUGGGGAGCAAACAGGAUUAGAAACCCUGGUAGUCC
Molecule: ribosomal RNA, 425 nt
Filed under: uncultured bacterium
Lineage: Bacteria
Description: bacterial SSU rRNA
Rfam family: Bacterial small subunit ribosomal RNA
Source: RNAcentral